This 695-nucleotide ribosomal RNA is filed under the name uncultured bacterium. RNAcentral describes it as "bacterial SSU rRNA". It matches the Rfam family "Bacterial small subunit ribosomal RNA", at positions 67 to 749 of the family's 1533-position model. The record is from RNAcentral.
CGGCAGCACAGUAAGAGCUUGCUCUUAUGGGUGGCGAGUGGCGGACGGGUGAGGAAUACAUCGGAAUCUACCUUUUCGUGGGGGAUAACGUAGGGAAACUUACGCUAAUACCGCAUACGACCUUCGGGUGAAAGCAGGGGACCUUCGGGCCUUGCGCGGAUAGAUGAGCCGAUGUCGGAUUAGCUAGUUGGCGGGGUAAAGGCCCACCAAGGCGACGAUCCGUAGCUGGUCUGAGAGGAUGAUCAGCCACACUGGAACUGAGACACGGUCCAGACUCCUACGGGAGGCAGCAGUGGGGAAUAUUGGACAAUGGGCGCAAGCCUGAUCCAGCCAUACCGCGUGGGUGAAGAAGGCCUUCGGGUUGUAAAGCCCUUUUGUUGGGAAAGAAAAGCAGUCGGCUAAUACCCGGUUGUUCUGACGGUACCCAAAGAAUAAGCACCGGCUAACUUCGUGCCAGCAGCCGCGGUAAUACGAAGGGUGCAAGCGUUACUCGGAAUUACUGGGCGUAAAGCGUGCGUAGGUGGUUGUUUAAGUCUGUUGUGUAAGCCCUGGGCUCAACCUGGGAAUUGCAGUGGAUACUGGGCGACUAGAGUGUGGUGGAGGGUAGUGGAAUUCCCGGUGUAGCAGUGAAAUGCGUAGAGAUCGGGAGGAACAUCCAUGGCGAAGGCAGCUACCUGGACCAACACUGACACUGA